Mus musculus (house mouse) is the source of this 16166-nucleotide long non-coding RNA. RefSeq annotates it as predicted gene, 52507. The record is from RefSeq and is a predicted model, not a curated record. The transcript has 3 exons. Lineage: Eukaryota; Metazoa; Chordata; Mammalia; Rodentia; Muridae.
UCGUACUGCAAGAGAAGGAAAGAGGCAGAGUCAGACCACAGGAUCCUGGAGAAGGCCCCGCUGAGCAGAGGGGAGGCUCCUGAUGAGCCUUAGGCAGAGCGACUGCAGGUCAGGCAUCCAGGCCUGGAACUAGAGCUGGGAUAGUGUUUCAUUCUGUAUGAAAGUGUGUGUGUGUGUGUGUGUGUGUGUGUGUGUGUGUGUGUGUGUGUGAGAGAGAGAGAGAGAGAGAGAGAGAGAGAGAGAGAGAGAGAGAGAGAGAGAGAACGCAGUGUCCACUACUGGUGCCAAUGGCAAGCUCACACGAGAAUCUUGUGCCACGCUGAGAGGCUCCAGUUGUGUCUAAAGCUCUCGGAGACAGAGAUAGACCGGAGAGUGAACUCCAUGCCUGACCAGCCUCUCUCAACCCUCAGGUCCUGGGACCCCUUGCUGUGCAGCACCCAUGACAGCCACCUCAGUGACCCGGGGGAGAGGCAAGGGAAGGAAGGGCUUCUGGGCUCUCACAAUCCUGCACCCUCUGUAGCCGGAUCUCACGGCACCCAGAGCCUUCCUGGUGGGGACCCUCACAGCUACAGGCAGACUAACAGCAACUGGUGAUGUGGGAGCCUGCCUUCUGCUGGCCACCCUGCUAGCCUGAGCCAAGAGCCAGUCUAUGGAGGACCACUAACCCUUACAGUGCGGAUCCUAAUUCUAUAGAGUAAAUUCUGGCAGCAAAAGGCUCCAAGCCCAGUGAAAACUCUGAGAAGACACAAGUGUCUGGGGUGGGAGGGGGCCCUGCCGUGGGGUGGGCUGCAGAACAGGAUUUCUUAUCCCGGCAGAGGUGAAGAGGGCUUGUGGGAUAGCCUGGGGUGCCCUAUUAGGCGAGAGGCAUUUAUGUUAGCGGUUUCCAACCACGUUCAGUAGAUCAGAACUGGUGAGCAGUGGGGGCUCUGGAAAUGUUUCCAACAGGGAGGAGGUUGAUGAACUGCUGUCUUGAGCUCAGUCACUCUGUGUGGACGCCCACAUGGUACUCAGCCUGUGGAGCAGAGUGUGGCCAAACUGUAGGAGGAGAAGCUGCAGACCCCAGUCAGGCUGUGUGGCCCAAACAGCCUCAUCACACCCCCAAAGGGAGCUGCCCUGAGAAAGAGUAGCUGAGGUCAUGACCAAGGAGCCACUCAAGAUAGUGCCCAUAUGACCUGUGAGUCCUGUCUUCCCGUUCUGGAUCUUGGUGGACUCACUUCUAAGGUGGGGUACAGCCAGCCAAUUCCAAGGGUGGCAUAGGCCCUUCCUUGGUGGCAAGCAGUUUCUAUUAAACAGCUGGUGGCUACGAGGGGAGCCUAUCAGAGCGCCCACAGCUCCCCCUGCCAUUUUCCCACCUUCUAGUGACUCUUGAAGGCACAGGACACCAUCCCAUCAGGCUAACACCAUUUUAUCAGGCUAUAGGCAGCUGUCUACCCAAGACGCUUCAGGCAAUGGUCGGCACAACACUGCCACCUGGUGGCUGCUUCGGUGUAUGCAUGUCAGUGAACAGAAACACAUUCCAGCCUCUGUUGGCUUUAUCUUACUCUGUUGGGGCUAAUGGAGUGGUGGGUGGGAGGAGGAAUGUUUGGAGGAUGGGGUCAUGUUGGGAAGACUAUAAAGGCAUAAGUCCUGUGGAAUCCUUGGUUCCCAGGGCUCAUAGUGUGGUGGCAGAGGGGCCCAGGAACCUUCCAUAUAGUCGAGGACUAACCACCACCUCCUAGGGCAGUUGUACAAGGCAUAGGCCCAAGCAAAGGAGCCUUUCCCAGGAAAGAGCGAAACCAUGGAAGGGCAGAGAUGCGGGGGCGGGGGCUUAAUGGUAGAGACUUGAGGGUAGAGGGCCAGGGGCUGUUCCCAAUAGAACAAAGGCCUGGGAUGUCAGGACAGCAGUUCAGACAGAGAAGGCACAGGCUAGGGAGAGGACAGGGUGUAGUUUUACUGGUGGCUGGGAGAGUCCCCGGGAGGCUGUGUGUGUGUGUGUGUGUGUGUGUGUGUGUGUAGAGGUAGCUGGACCACAGGGACAACAGCCAUCAUGCAGUCAGAAGACAAAGAGGAUAGGUCUAUACCCUUGGGGUGGGGGUUGACAGUCCUGGGGGCUGCCUGAGAAGUGACACCUUGGGGUGAGAUACAGUAGAUCCUGACCUGGAACCUGCAAGGCCUAGGCUAGCUAGGAUGAAAUUUUGAGUGGUGGUCAUAAGUCUGGGGUGGGUCUGAAAUAUUCAUUUUCUAGUGGCUUCUAGGUGACUGGAGUUGGGGUCAGUUCUGAAAGCAAGCCUGACCAAUCACAUGACCAACAUGACCACAGUGAUGUAGGGAGGGUUGGAGUGGGAGGGCCAGAGGCUAGACUACGGUGGUCAGGUGGGUGAUGGUGAACCACGAGGAGAACUAGGGACAGGCAGGGUAGGGUAUCGCACUUUGAAAGCCAGCAGUGAUUCUCAGAUGAGGGAAGGAAAAGGCUCACAUGGUACCAACGCGGUCAGGGCUGGAGAUGCUGCCUGAGCUGUUCAGAAGUAGGCCGUGCUGUGCCCAGCUCCCAGGGCAGAAGGAAGCCUGUGGGGCAGUGGAACUUUCUUCAUUUAAUGCUGUCCGGUUGGCCCCGCCCCAGGAUAUCCUAGCCUGAGACUGGUGCUGGGCAGAUGGGAACUGCAGCUUUCUGGGUAGUGGGUAGGGGAAGCAUGGCUGACCAGGCAGUGGGGCCUCCAUGUGUGGGGUCAGGGGUCCGUGCCUGUGGUGGCUGGGCAUGGGAGCGGGUCUCUGGGAGGGGCAAGGACCUGCCUUCCAGUUCACUGUGAACGCUCCUUUCUUUGCACUCUGGCUUGUAGUGGAGAAGGAGCGGCAAGCACACACUUGCCUUUUCCUGUGCUGCAGCCCAAGCACACGGAGACCCUGGGGGCUGGCACCACGCAUGGAUCCCUCGGCCCCCGCCCUCUCCCUGGAGCUUUUUCCUUUUUAGGUUAUCCUGGCUGGAAAAAGUCACCUCCCCCACUCUUGUUUUCCCUAAUUCCCCAAAUGAAAUUUCAACAUAUGUCCCCCGACAUAAUCCCCCUUAGGCUGCGGAUAACCUUCCCACAGACGAGGUCCUCCACCGGGGAUUCUUCGUCCCCAAAAUGUUUGCCCAAGAGACUAGGGCCGCUUCUGGAAGCCCUUUCACUCCCUUGGGCAAACAGAGAGUACCUUUGAAGGUGGAUUUGAGCCCAGGCCUGUUUACUCAAGACAUUAGUCUCCUGCAUAAGGAAAACCUGCACUUGAGUACAAACAGCAAAUCCUUUUUGAAUUAAAAAUAUUUUCAAUUAAAAAGCAUUUGGUGUGCAGAGCCCAGUCCAGCUGAGCAGUGAAGGGCAGGGUGCCCUCUGGUGGACACAGCCUGUCAUCGCAACUGUAGUGCUGGCUUGGCCUAGGAAAGAGAUAUCACUGUCAAAGGCUCUGUAGGGGACUUUCCCAGAGGCCCCAGGACCUUGUAAUAGACAGCCUCAGGCCUCUCAGGCAGACAGGUCAGACAGUGGGUCACGGUCUCCACAAGCCCUUGCUCUCAGGAGACUAGCAUUGUGUUAGGAGGAGGUGGCAGCAUCAUAGAGGCUAGGUCACUGCAGCCACCAGGGAAAGGGGUGACUAGCUUCUCCUGCCACUCACAGGGGAGCUGUGGGAGUCACUGGGGUGAUCUGUGCCAACACACCCAGCAGUGCUUGUGCCCAAGAGGCCGAUAUGGGGAAAGCAGCAGCAUUUAUGAAAGGUCCUGGGUCCUUUUAAUGAUUGGUAAGGGGAGGCUUGCCUGACUCAGAAGUGCUUGCUGCCUACCAACGGGGCAGUAGUGGGGGUGGGGCUGGCAUGCACAGGUUGUACCUGCUCAGGCCCUCGUCCUCUCCUGAUUCAGUGCCAGUCACAUCCACAGGGGGACAAGGCAGGCAGGAAGGUUUCUUUCUAGCUCUUUACUCUGCAGUCAGGAAGCAUGCUGAGGGAAGGAUCCAACUUCCUGAGACCCCAGAGUGAGGCAGGACAGUGCUGGUCCUGGCCCAGAGGGGAGCCUGGAGCAAAUGCUGAGCUGGACAGGUGUCCAUGCCCACCCCUUGAUGGGCUGCAGGUGGGAGACAUGGGGUCAGGUGACAACCAGAGCCAAAGCAGGUGGCGUGGCAGCAGAUCACAGAAGGCCCUGGAGUGUGGGCUAGAAUAGCAGAGAGAUGGUUCAGGGGUGGAGAACAGUGGAGGGAAGGCUGGGCUUUCACAGAUGGCCUAAUGCCAGGGCAGAGGGAGUAGUAGAGGCUAGACCAGACAGCCCAGGAUAGCUAUGAAUUCAGUCGAGAACAAAAAAGUAAUUUAUUAAAACAUCAUAAAAGUUCACUUACUUUUUUUUUUUUUAAGACAAGGUAGCCUCGGCUCUACAUCCACAGAGAUCUGCCUGCUUCUGAAGUGCGGUAUUAAUGGCGCGCACCGCCACCCCCAGCUCGAGGGUUGACAUUUGUUGGACCUCAACCACACCAUUCUUGAGGAUGAGCUUUGUAAACGACUGUGUGGUGAGAGAAGUUGAGGGGCAGGACACAGCAGCCACCCGCCUGCUCUUCAGACCUCCCUUGGGCUAUUCCAUUAUCCCUCACCUCCCAGGCACUGCCACAGCCUGCACUCAAACCUGUGUCCCAUUUGUAAAUACACCUUAGACCUCAGCCCUUCCUCAUCCACAGCUCAGCCUCCAAUGAGCCUCCAUUCUGCCAGGUGCCCUUUCCACUCAUGGGCUCCAUGUUCUCCAUGCUGUGUCUUGGACCUGGGGUUCAAUCCUGGGGAAGGAUUGGGGUGGGUCUGCUGUGGGCUGGGCCUGCUGUGGAGCGGGCCUGCUGCACCGCAUUUCUGGGAUGGGCUAGCUUAGACUUUGCAUCUGCCCUCUAACAGGGACUCUAGAUAUUCCACUUAGCAUGCAGGGCUGGGAACGUCUGGACCCAUGCAGUCCGCAGGCAACCAAAGGGCUGAAUGACACAGAGGGGGAGGACUCUGGGGUCCAUGUCUUGUCAAUGUUUUCUAUGUGAGUCUGUACUGGGUGACAGCAAGGCCCAGCAAGAGUGUCACAGGCAAAGUGGGGGAGCUGGGCUUCUAAUGGGGCAGGAUGACCAGCGCCACAACAGUGAGCACCCCGGUUCUGUCCUCUCUCCAUGUGGACACUCAGCAGAGUCACACGCUACCUGACUCCCAUGGAGCGACUGUCAGCCUCCGUGCCUCUCCUGGAGAGAGGUGUACACUUCCCAGCUAGGCAGAGGAUGAAGGCUGCCACACCACAGCGGCAGCAAUACCACGCUGUCAAUGGGGACAUUUCAUGAAGCAGAUGGAAAGCUCUAUAUCACGACUAUUAAAAGCUGAGAGUGAAUGACAGGUAGAGGAGCUGCACGGCUGAGAACGGGGGAACAAGCUUCCUCUAUGGAUACAGAACAGCCUCCCCUUGCUGUGGUCCCACAGGCAGGCACCUGUGGGUGGGGCCUGCUUGCUGGGGAGGCCUGGGAUUGGGUGGGUCUGUGGAGAUGUAUGUGUGUGUGUGUACAGGUGAAUGGAAGCCACAGUUGUGGUUGAGAUGGCAUCUCAGCAUUCACCUGGACAUUAAAAACUGGGGGGGGGGGCUGUCUGUAAUGCUGGAACACACCCUCCUCUACGUCACUGCAGGAAACACCUGAAGAGACGCUGCAGGUCGUGCAAUGCCACAUGGGGUAUCCUGUGGAGGUCCUGCCCCACUCCAUCUCUGCUACAAUACAGGUGUUUGUCACCUCUGCCUGGCAACUUUUUCUAGCUCUGCUUGGGGAAUUGCUGUACUUUAACAUGUGGGAUUAAAAAGUCCCAUAAACCCGAAGAAAAAAAAGUGGAAACCCUCCUCUGAAGGACCUGCGAAAGCCAGCCGCUCACCUUGACUCUGGUUCUGCACAUGUAGGAGUGUUGACAAUGGAGCCCUGACAGAGAAUGCGGACUUGAAGAGCAUCUCUGCGGCAGCUACAGUUCCACAGCUCUUUAAUUUCAAUGCUGCGUGCUCCAGGCCACCAUGCCGACAAACUGUGGUAGCCACUCUUAGGUGCUGUGGCCUCCAAUAAAACUCAAAAGAUGGAGCAGCAUUCUCAACCUGUGGGCCAUUCCCCCUCCCCCGCAGCAAACCUUCACCUCAAAAAAUGUUUACAGUAGGAUUCAUAACAGUAGCAGAAUUACAGUUAUGAAGUAGCCAUGAGAUAGUUUCAUGGUUGGGGUCACCCUGACAUGAGGAGCCGUAGUAAACCACUGCAGCACUGGAAGGCCAAGGACCACUGCGACAGACACGCCGCAGUCGUUAGAGAACUUACUUCUCUUCCAAGGGAGCUGAGUUUGCAUUCCAGCACCCACACUGGGUGGCUCACCAUUCAUAGCUCCAACUCCAUGGGGUCCGAUUCUGGCCUGUGAGCGCACCCUCACACACACAGCACACACACACACAUACACACACACACACACACACACACACACAUACACACACACACACACAUACACACACACGCACACACAUGCACACACAUGCACGCAGAUAUACAAGAGACAAAUACAAAACCGCAAAGAGCCGGGGCGGCACACGCCUUUAAUCCCAGCACUUGGGAGGCAGAGGCAGGCAGAUUUCUGAGUUUGAGGCCUGGUCUACAGAGUGAGUUCCAGGACAGCCAGGGCUACACAGAGAAACCCUGUCUUGAAAAAACAAAACAAAGCAAAACAAACAAAGCCACAAAGACAGUGUGGGGGGCUGGGGGGUGGGAACUCAGAGCAUGGUGGGGGAAAACACAGCCAUGUCCACAGGUGACUGAAAGCGGCCCUGAGAGGCUGCACCCAUCCCAGUGAGAUUAUGCGGGAAAGAGAAACACAGGGCCAAUUCUCAAACAGGAGAAAAGACAAACACGGGUAACGUAACGCCACUAAAGAGGCCUGGGGACCUGGAAGGGCCAGCUGAGGGAAGGGGUACACCAGGAAGGGGACAGGUGCUACACUACACGAGCGGUCAGGGUGGUGUCUGGGCUGCUGGUCUGUGGGUAAGGUGACAAGGACAGCGACAUUACUGUUGCUUCAGUUCAGGAGAGGCCUGCUCCAGAAUCUCAGCCAGCACUGGGAGCGUCCUCUAUACAUGCGGCAGAUGAGAAGGCGCAAGCAAUGGCCCUGCUGACAGAAGUCACAGCGACACACAACACCCAGCCAUGUCCUGAAAACCAACAGGAGGGGCUGGGCAUGCGGCUCAGUCGGCACAGAUCUGGCCCUGCACACACUGGGCCUAGGUUUGAUCCCCUGCACUGUAAAAACCCGGCAUGGUGCUACCUAUAACCCAGCACUGGGAAGUAAAGACAAGGGGACCGGAAGUUGAAGGUUAUCCUCAGUUAGAUACAGAGUUUAAGGGCAGCCUGGGCUACUUGAGACCCCAUCUCAAAAGAACAGCAGAAAGAAACACACGAGAAUUCAUUAAAGAGAACCCUUUGGUUUCCCACUGGCCAAUACACAAAGACCCGGGUGGACAUGCGUGUAAAACGCCAGCCACCCUAUCACCCGUGAUUCUGUGCAGUCUCACAAAAAAAACCUUGGGGAGAGGUGUAAUGGUCCCUUUAGGGCUGGGCUCUCCAGGGUCUCAUUCUCUGUGGGUUCCACGCUUGGUGGUUCUUGUUAUUACUGCAAGGAGGAGUUUCCCUGAUUGGGAGAUGUCAGGCCCCUCCCCUCUCAGUUGGACCCCUCCCCUCUCAGGCAGAUGGUGAGAUGGCUCAGCAGGUACAGGUGCUUGCUACCAAGCCUGAAGACCUGAGUUCUAUCCCUAGGACCCACCUGGUGGGAGGCUGAAAAUUGCCUUCUGCCCUCUGUAUGCAUGCACCGCAAAUAAACAAUGCACCGAAAACUGUUGAUGGAAGGUGGAAUGUUGGUGGCACAAGUCUCUAAUUCCAGUUCUGAGGUGGAGGCAGGAGAUUCAUGAGCUCAAGGCCAGCCUGGACUAUACAUUGAUCGGGACCCUCUCUCAAAAUAAAACAAAACAAUAAAAUAGUUGUACAAUCGCCCCUCCUUGGAAGGCUGUAAGGUUCCGAUGGAAUAAUUAUGCCUCUAAUUAGGAAAGUCCUGGGGGCACACAGAGAACUCAGCUAAGCCACCGUAUGUGAGAGCGAGGCAGCACAGAAGGCACGGGAACACAUGGAAAGACGGGAAAAGAUACACAGAGAGCUCACAGAAGAAAAUGAGCGGAAAACUGCCUAAGCCUUAGAAAUAAAGCCAGCUCUUUACUUUCCAGUACACGCCAAAUGGAUCAAGGGUUUGGUAAGUGUUUAAUAUUUUGGUAUUUUAAAAUAUAAAAUACAGAAGGGAAUGCAGUGGUUUUUAUUGUAAAAAUGCCAUGAAAACGAAAUCCAAAACAUUUACCCAGCCCAAGGUUGCCAUCUUUAAAGGAUAAAGGGCUCUUAAAAAUAAGAGGGGAUGGGGGCUGGUGAGAUGGCUCAGUGGGUAAGAGCACCUGACUGCUCUUCCGAAGAUCCAGAGUUCAAAUCCCAGCAACCACAUGAUGGCUCACAACCAUCCGUAACAAGUUCUGACUCCCUCUUCUGGUGUGUCUGAAGACAGCUACAGUGUACUUACAUACAAUAAUAAAUAAAUCUUAAAAAAAAAAAUAAGAGGGGAGGGAUCAGCCUGAGGGGGGGGAGGGGUCAGCCUGAGAGGGGAGGGAUCAGCCUGAGAGAGGGAAGAGUCUGACAUACCCUCCAAUCAGGGAAGCUCCUCCUUGUAGUAGACAACAAGAACCACCAUUCACGAACACGCAGAGACUAAGAAGAGACUGGCGAGCCCAGCCCUAAAGGGGACAUUUGCGUCACACCCCUCAGCAAGGCUCUGGGAUCUUCGAGGAAGAGGGGUCUGUUGUUCUGUUCCCAGCUUAAGUUGGGCGACUCACAGCUGCCUGUAACUCCAGCUCCAGGGGGAUCAGACACCGCUGGCUUCUUCAGGUGAGCUCUUGUGCAUAUGCCACAUCCCCAUGUAACUAAAAGUAAAUUCUCUAAAAAAAAUAAAAGCAGCCGAGGCCCAUGGUAAUAUCAAGAAAACGGUGUUUCCCAGGCACCAGCACAGAGGACAUGAGCUCACAACUGUGCGGGCGUGCCAAGGCCAGUGCACGCUCCAGCCAGCCAGAAUCCUUGCAGCAGGGCUUAAGGUGGACACGAAAUCCCACUCCUAGAUGAAAAAAUAUUGGUAUUUUCUAGGUGCUGGAAGGAGUCUUUGUCAAUGUGACCUCUUGUGGGAUGGCCACACACAGGCAGAUGACUGUCACCGAAGGCUAGCUGGGCAGCACAAACGACUCAAUGGAAAGCCAAACAAACCAAAAAACAAAAGUCAGAAAUCUCAAAGUUGGGUGGGAGGGUGGAAAUGGGAGGAGUUGGAGGUUGAAUAUAUUUAAAACACAUUGUAUGAAAUUUUCAAAGAAUUAAUAAAAGUAUUACUCAAAAGCAAAUAAAAAGAGGCUGGGGACAAUAAAAAAAAAAAAUGCCUUAGAGAAGUGAUUCUCAACCUGUGGGUCGCGACCCCUUUGAAGCGCAGUCUUCUCACAGGAGGUGUAUAUAAGACAUCCUGCGAAUCAGAUGUUUACACUGUCAUUCAUAACAGGAUCAAAGCACAGUUAUGAAGUAGUGACAACAUAUUUUAUGGUAGAGGGUCACCACAACUUGAGGAACUAACUGUAUUAAAGGAUUGCAGCAUUGGGAAGGCUCAGAACCACUGGCUUAGAAGGUAGUGUUUGCUGUGUGCAUAUGAAAAGCCGAGUUUCACAGAACUCACACAGCCAGGCUUGCCACUGUGCUCCUGUGACGCCCACGCUGUGCAGCAGCAACAGGAGUGUCCCUGGGUCUCACAGGCCAGCUGCACUAGAGAACAGCAGCUCCGGGUUCAGUGAGAGACCUUAUCUCAAACGUUAGGAGGACAGUGACAGAGAGGAAGGACCCUUGAUGCUCACCCCUGGACUCUGCACAGACAUCUGCAUGGGUGAGUGCACGCCAUGCACCCCACGGAGGGGGAAGAUGAAGGAAAGGGAGGGAAACCACCACGCCACGAGCACCAAGCCAGCAAGCAGCGGACAGCCAGGGGUGACAACAGACCAGUGUGGGGACCGUGGAGCGCCUCUGGGCUGGGCUGGAAUGUAGAGAAAGCUAGCCUGUGCUCCUUUGGUUGGGGCUUAAGUGGGCUCAUCUCCACUCGGAAAGCAAACUAGUAUUUCCCCUUCUAAAGAAAGCCAUACCCAGGGGAGCAAAGCCACACACACAGCAAAUCAAGUCACACACACUGAGAGAGGGUCACUGGGGAUGAGCCCAAAUUCACUCAGCAGGUGACUGGCUAAGUACAUACAUCAAGGGCAUGGCAUGUGGAGUGAGGGUACACCCCACAAAGCCACAGACUAACCCCCCCCCCCAGUGCCAAGCAUGCGGACUCACUGAGCUGUUGGUCAGAGGGGACUGCUACACAGCUUACUGCUGUUGCUGGAAGACUUGGAGGAGUCCAGCGAGAGCUGAGUGGAAGCCUCUCUCUGAGGAUCAGCCCUCAGACAGAAGUGCUAACAUGGGCUGCCAGUGUGCGCUGCCAGGGAGAAGCAGUCAAAGUCCCACUCAGCCGUGAGGCCUGGGAAGCACCACUGGGGACAGCAUGGCAAGAUGCACCCGUGGGCAGCAGUGGCACCUGCACCUUAGAGGUGACCAAACCUCCUCGUCACUUAAGGCCUGCUCAGUAUGAGGAAACUCAUGCCUGUGGUUGGUGAGGCCAUGGGCCCUAGAAAGGAACGAACUGUUGCCAGUGACAAUAAUUUCCAACAGCGUUCUAAAUCCUUCCCCUCAGGCCCACAGAGAAGCGUGGCUCUCACUCUUCAUCCACAAAGCUUCUUUUCACAGAAGACAAGACCGUUACGGAAGCCACAACUGGCCAAAAUGCAGAGGCCGUCUGACUGUGGGGUGCCCAGGCCCAGCUGAUAAACAUAUAGAAACUGUACCCUAAAGAUUCGAGGAACACUGCAGACGGCAUGGGGAGGUUUGGAGGGGGGAGCCUGUCAAAGGCAGAGAGCCUGGAUGCCAGCUACAAGAUAGUUGUACCUGUUAAAUCUCAACAAUGUGGCUGCUUGGACAAGACCUGCCCAGUGAUGCCACUAGCUGACAGGGAAAACCUCACACGGUUCCAACACUAGAGGAAGAGCUAUCAGUGACUAGUGAUUGCUGAGAGAUGGAGUGCCAGACUUCUAUAAGUCGAGCCCCUGGUGGGUUAUAAUCCUAUGUGGUCAGCCAAUCCGUGUGGUCAUCCCUAAACACAAGCCAAACCAGCAAUUCUCGAUGGACUCAGGUGUGUGUGUGUGUGUGUAAUUGAAGAGGUCAUGAAGUUGAAAGGGAGUGGAAGUGUAGUGAUAGAAAUACAGUAUAUAAAACUCUUGAAAAAGUGUUUUGUUUUUUUAAAGGCAGGGAAUUCGGCCAGCAGAAGGAAUGGGCUGCAGACUGCAUUUUGGCCAGUUGUGGCUUCUGAUACAGUCUCCAUCUGCUAGCAGCAAAAAAAAAAAAAAAAGCCUCUUUGAUGAAGGGAGGGCAUUAGGAGGAAGGACUUAGAGUGUGCAGGAGUGGGGAGCAGGUUUCAGAGCUAUGACUGCGGUAGGCAGCUUGCUGGUGUAACACUGAUUAGAUGUGUGUGUCUGAGGUGGGUAGCUUGCUGGUAUAACACUGGUUAGAUGUGCAUGUCUGAGGUGGGAAGCUUGCUGGUGUAACUAACACUGGUUAGAUGUGCGUGUCUGAGGUGGGCAGCUUGCUGGUGUAACACUGGUUAGAUGUGCGUGUCUGAGGUGGGCAGCUUGCUGGUGUAAACUGGUUAGAUGUGCAUGUCUGAGGUAGGCAGCUUGCUGGUGUAACACUGGUUAGAUGUGUGUGUCUGAAGUAGGCAGCUUGCUGGUGUAACACUGGUUAGAUGUGCGUGUCUGAGGUGGGCAGCAGGGGAGAUUCACUCUGUACUUCACAUGUUUCUGAGUUUGUAUUUUCAUGCGUGUGCAUGGGUCUGUCGGGAAAACACCAAGUAUUGAAAAGUUGAUGCCUGGACAGGAGGAGAUAGCUCUGUUGGAAAAGUGUCCGCCAUGCAAGCAUGAGUAGCCGGGUUCAGAUCACAAGCGCCCAUGGAAAGGCCAGUGUGAGCCCAGUGGUGGGUAAGCCCAGUGGUGGGCGAGAGAUCCUGGAGCACACUGGCAAAGCCUAGCCUAGCUCAGUCAGUGAGUUCCAGGCUCAGUGCAAGAUGCUGCCUCACAAAGUGAGGCACAGAGAAAAUCAAGGAAGACCCCCAAUCCCCACAAUGAUCUCCAACUGGGAGGAGUCCUGAGUCUGCUUCAAAUGGUGCCAUACCAGAGAGGUCCUCUUCAGUGGGAGAGGAGGAUUAACGCUGGUCUGCGGCAUGACUCGUGGGUGCAUGCCUGUGGUUAGCAGAAUGUGGCAGUGAACCAACCGCCCUCACACUUUGGAAGGCAUCUUUUAGGCCUUUAGAAAUGCCAUCCAAGGGCUGGAGAGAUGGCUCAGUGGUUAACAGCACCGACUGCUCUUCCAAAGGUCCUGAGUUCAAAUCCCAGCAACCACAUGGUGGUUCACAACCAUCUGUAAUGAGAUCUGACACCCUCUUCUGGUGUGUCUGAAGACAACUACAGGGUACUUAGAUAUAAUAAUAAAUAAAUCUUAAAAAAAAAUCCCAUCCAAGCCACCUACUAAGUUCUUUAACAAAUUUAAAAGUUUCUUUGUAGCUGCAGCCACUGCACGUGUGCUGACGGUACAGCGAGGCACAGGAUAAACUGGCGGUCUGCUGACUGCCACACCCCUGCCUCACCAUGCACUGUCUUUUGGAGUUUCUUUGUUUUGCAUAGGAAUGGUCUCAAGCCAGUGUGAUCUCUGUAAAAAUUUAGAUGGCAGCUGGGACCUUGGAAGAAUAUACAGGAGCUUAUAGCAGUCUACUGGAUCAAUCACACUUGGUUCACGAGGUAUUCUGCUGAGGCCUCUGAAGACAGCAGACAGGAGUGUAUGACCAGGCUGAGAGCUGAGACAGCGCCAGCAUCCGGGCUGAGUUACUUCACUAAUCAUGGCUUCACUCGUUUCCCACCACCCACGUCUCAGUGUGCACCUGAAUGCUGUGGUUUUUGCGUUUUCCAUGACCCUGCUCCUUGCCAUCAGGCUGCCUGAGGGUCCCCAAAGCAAUUUGUUUUGCCAUGUUAUUCAUAAGCCAAAAGGAGCAAUUUAUCAGCCACAGCCGGAGACUCCGGAGCCCCACGCACAAGAGGACGGAGGAAGGAGUGUGGGCGCAGGAGUCAGCUGCACAUGCCGCGGUGCCAGCUUGUUAGCCAUGUGGCCUUGGUAAGUCACCCAGCCCUGAGUCAGAGUUUCAUCUGCCCCAGGAUACAUAAGCCCCCCAUCUGCAAUGCUGGGCAGGCAUGUGAGACAGUACACAUGAAUGAGCUGAGCAUGGCAGACUUACUGCAUCCACUCAUGCAGAUAUAAAGCAGUGCCUGGUUUUUCGGGGAAUGAGUUCAGGUCACAAACUCCUGCCUCACAACUGCUAUGAUCAGGACAGAGGCUGACCUGUCUGAGCCUUUCUUUCAACUGUAAAAGAAAAAGAUAAUGUUUGGGCUACUCAAGUUGCAAUGAGCUAAAAACAACUUCUCAGUUGGCUAGGGGUGGUAGGUAAUCUUACUGCUGCAGAGGAAAGGCCCCCCACAGGCUCUAGGCACCCACGUUAAACCAUCUGCCCCACGGGUCCUAACCCAAAGGCACGGGUACAGUGCCUUUUCUUGUGUGACUCACAGGGUACCCAACACUGUCCUUCUUGGCAUCUGUCCUCUCUGAGUGUCAGAUGAAGCCUGAUCUGGAAUGGAGGUCCUGGUGCAGUCUAGUGCCAUGUAGGUAAAGAGUUAGAUGUGAGGUGACUGAAGAAAACCAAGGCUGAGUCUCCCAGCCAACAGAACGCUGUUGUGGUGGAAUAUCUUCAAAGCUGUAGCUAGGAUUGUGCUAUGUCCUCCACAGGCACUAAUGAAGGGUCUGUAUGCUCGAGAGACCUGGCACCAUUAAAAUACCAUGUGCAUUGUGGUUUUGACCUCAAGUCUGGUCCCAUGGGCUUUCCUAGAGGAUCAUGGGAAGAAAUGCCAUGAAAGAAAAAUCUGGUCCAUCAUGAGUUGUGAAGGAAAAGGGUCACUAUCACCUCAUGAAUAUGCCACCUCAUAAAUAUUUCUAAAACCUUAAAUCCAUAUCAUAGAAUGCACUAGGCUAUAUUCCAUGUUGGGGGCAGUUCACACUGUGUCUGACUGUUGGCUUUGCUCUGCUAAAUGAACUUCUGCUUAAAAUAUCUGUGUUUUGACUGACUUCUUUCCUUCAAGAAGACAAGAACUAGAGAUAUUCCCUACCUCAAAUGAAUUCAGCUGUUUGAUGUGCCUUGGAAAAGAGCCCUAAAGGGCUGGAAGGACUGCUCAGCGAUGCAGGGCUUGCUCAAGCAUGUGCAAGGCUCUGACUUCCACCCUAGCACCGUAGACAGAAGCAGAAACAAAACCAAAACUACUGUAAAGAAGUCGGAGGUUAAACUACAGGAGCCUCUGGUUCUGUUAAGCACAGGCCAUCUGGACCUCACAUGUACACAAUCAUCUCUAGAUCCCAUCUCCACGCAAAAUGUUUGACACUGUCACUUUAAUUGAGGGGCAAUUCCUUUCUACGUCCGAGUACCCCAUGUUCCACAUCUCAAGUACCAAGAGGCCUCAGGCCCCUGCUUUGAGCAGCCACUCCUCUAAUGCAGACAGACACCUGGUUAGGUGAGGGAGGUUCUUAGAGAGCUCUGAGCCCAGGAAGGGCAGGAGGGCAUGUCCUACACCCAGAAGGGACUAGAAACCUGGCUAGAACGGCUACGCUCCUCCACAGGGAAAGCCUUUUAACUUUAUUAACUCUGUCAUGGCUUCACUCCAAAACCACUUGCACUUGGCUUAAGGUGAAGACAGUUGUCUCAGGAUCACGUCCAUGGGAGUAACAGGGGGCCUCCGUGGUCAGGAGGGGGCUCCUGGGGGCUGUGCUCACACUUGCUGCUCCAAGAUGGAAUUCUGAAGUCUGUUGGUGAGCUGGAGAUGAAGCAGGGAGCCAGAUUGUGCAGAAAGAAGAGCAGAAUCUGGGCCCAGGGAGGCCUGUUCCCCAGUUCUCUGUGUGUGUGGGUCUCCUCUAGCCAUGUCACUGUUACUGGAGUCAAGCUGGGUGGCCACUGGACAGGCCCUGCGCCACACACCCGCUUCCCGUAGACAGACACCCGAGGAGGAGAGAUGCACCUUCCCUUCCAGGGCCCCUUUUCAUUUUAACACCAGCACAAACAAUUUUAAAUUGUACUUUUUUGAAUGUCUCAAUAUAUGAAUCUGUUUUCUAAGGUAUCCAUUCCUAAAGACCAGCUAAGCUAAAAUAUCCUGAAGUUCCUAGCCCCAACCCCAAGGCAGGGGUCUGCAAAGGCCUUGGGCCCUUCGCUGUUUUCUGUGCAUUUAUAUGUGUCUUCAUGUGUAAAGAAAUAUAUGUGUGUGUGUGUGUGUGUGCACGCGCAUGUGCAAGCUUGCUCAUGCACACACGUGUAUGCUAGUUAACCCAGAACCAUAGCGUAAGUGUUCUGCAUCUUUUCCCUUAGCUGUGGAACUUGCCAUUAGAAGGCAAAGCUCUAACUCGGACUUUUUAAAAACAGCUUCAUAGGAAUAUGGGGCAGAGACCUACAGCCAGCUUCCAAGGUGCCUCGUCUUCCUCCCAAAUGGCUGUUAGAAGAGUCAUACAAAGGCUUGUGGGCUGGAGAGACUGGGGAUAGUCUCAGCCUUGAAGAUGGCUCAUUCCCAACUAUCCAGUCUAGCCAGGAUAACCAGACAGGAGAACCACCUGGGGGACUAGCCUGGCUAGUCUUUGGUCAACUUGACACACAUUAGAAUGUCAAGGUGAAGAAGGACCUACAAUGGAACAAUGCCUCCAUCAGAUGGUCUGUAGGCAAGUCUAUGAAUAUUUCCUUUUUUACUGAAAAAAUAAUUUUAUACAGUAUAUACUGAUCAUGUUUUCCCCUUUCUUGUAGAGCACUUUCUUAAUUAAUCACUGAUGAGAAAGGCCCCAGGUCACUGUGGGUGAGGCCAUACCUGGAUAGAUGGCCCUAGGUGCUGUAAGGAAGCAGGCUGAGCAAGCUAAGGGAAGCAAGCCAGU